Molecule: ribosomal RNA, 572 nt
Filed under: uncultured bacterium
Lineage: Bacteria
Description: bacterial SSU rRNA
Rfam family: Bacterial small subunit ribosomal RNA
Source: RNAcentral
AGAGUUUGAUCAUGGCUCAGGAUGAACGCUAGCGGGAGGCUUAACACAUGCAAGUCGAGGGGUAACAUGAGGUAGCAAUACUUUGAUGACGACCGGCGCACGGGUGAGUAACGCGUAUGCAACCUACCCUGUACAGGGGGAUAGCCCGGAGAAAUUCGGAUUAAUACCCCAUAAAGAUAUUUAGAGGCAUCUUUGAAUAUUUAAAGUUUCGGCGGUACGGGAUGGGCAUGCGUAACAUUAGCUAGUUGGUAAGGUAACGGCCUACCAAGGCAACGAUGUUUAGGGGUCCUGAGAGGGUGAUCCCCCACACUGGUACUGAGACACGGACCAGACUCCUACGGGAGGCAGCAGUGAGGAAUAUUGGUCAAUGGGCGGAAACCUGAACCAGCCAUCCCGCGUGCAGGAAGGAGGCGCUAUGCGUCGUAAACUGCUUUUCCAGAGGAAGAACACCCCUGACGUGUCGGGGCUUGCCGGUACUCUGGGAAUAAGCAUCGGCUAACUCCGUGCCAGCAGCCGCGGUAAUACGGAGGAUGCGAGCGUUAUCCGGAUUUAUUGGGUUUAAAGGGUGCGUA